CUUUCCUGUGUUGCAUACCUAUUGCGAGGGCAUUCGGUUGGCUAAAAAUGGUCCCAACUCCGCCUUGUGUCGGCGCUCCGUGCGGGCGUACGGUGCGGGGUGGAUCUCACGGCGUCCGUCGUGUUUCGCGCCGCAUUCACCUUCUUGGUGUUUGGGUAGGCGACCCAUGACGUGAUGCGCGUUGUCUCGGGUACGGAACAUCGGGUGGGUUCGAGGCAUCGUCCUCCGAUCACCACACAAAUGCGUUCUACGCUUUAAGCGAACGACGGCCGCACACGAGCUUCGGCGGAGCACUCGCUGUUCGGUCGGAUCCGUGUCGGCGUCGGUGAGGGAUGC
RNAcentral lists this unclassified non-coding RNA (336 nucleotides) under Hyptis ditassoides. RNAcentral describes it as "partial external transcribed spacer". The record is from RNAcentral. Lineage: Eukaryota; Viridiplantae; Streptophyta; Magnoliopsida; Lamiales; Lamiaceae.